CCUAUUUGGCUAUAGAGAAACCUUGUAAACACUCUAGAAGUCACAAUUUUUGCCCAAUCAUCAUGAAAGUUGGUCAAAACAUUGGUUUUAUUGAUAUCUCGGACAAGUUUGAAAAUGGUCGGAAUCGGUGAAAAAACAUGGCCGCCAGUGGGCGGGGCAUUUUUCUCUAUAUGUAUAUAGUGAAAACAUGUGAACACAGUAGAAGUCACAUUUUUGGCCCAAUUUUCAUGAAAUUUGCUCAGAACAUAUGUUUCUUUGAUAUGAGAGUUGAGUUCAAAAAUGGUUCCGGUCAGUUGAAUAACAUGGCUGCUGGGAGGGGGGCAGUUUUCUCAUUAUGCCCCCCCCCCCCUUUCGAAGAAGAGGGGGUAUAUUGUUUUGCUCAUGUCGGUCCGUCCGUCCACCAGAUGGUUUCCGGAUGAUAACUCAAGAGCGCUUAUGCCAAGGAUCAUGAAACUUAAUAGGUACAUUGAUCAUGACUUGCAGAUGACUCCUAUUAAUUUUCAGGUCACUAGGUCAAAGGUCAAGGUCACGAUGACCCGAAAUAGUUAAAUGGUUUCCGGAUGAUAACUCAAGAACGCUUAGGCCUAGGAUCAUGUAACUUCAUAGGUACAUUGAUCAUAACUCGUAGAUGACCCCUAUUGAUUUUCAGGUCACUAGGUCAAAGGUCAAGGUCACGAUGACCUGAAAUAGUAAAAUGGUUUCCGGAUGAUAACUCAAGAACGCUUAGGCCUAGGAUCAUGAAACUUCAUAGGUACAUUGAUCAUGACUCGUAGAUGACCCCUAUUGAUUUUCAGGUCACUAGGUCAAAGGUCAAGGUCACAGUGACCUGAAAUAGUAAAAUGGUUUCUGGAUGAUAACUCAAGAACGCUUAGGCCUAGGAUCAUGAAACUUCAUAGGUACAUUGAUCAUGACUCGUAGAUGACCCCUAUUGAUUUUCAGGUCACUAGGUCAAAGGUCAAGGUCACGGUGACCUGAAAUAGUAAAAUGGUUUCUGGAUGAUAACUCAAGAACGCUUAUGCCUAGGAUCAUGAAACUUCAUAGGUACAUUGAUCAUGACUCGUAGAUGACCCCUAUUGAUUUUCAGGUCACUAGGUCAAAGGUCAAGGUCACGGUGACCUGAAAUAGUAAAAUGGUUUCUGGAUGAUAACUCAAGAACGCUUAGGCCUAGGAUCAUGAAACUUCAUAGGUACAUUGAUCAUGACUCGUAGAUGACCCCUAUUGAUUUUCAGGUCACUAGGUCAAAGGUCAAGGUCACAGUGACCCGAAUAGUAAAAUGGUUUCCAGAUGAUAACUCAUGAAUGCUUAUGCCUAGGAUCAUGAAACUUCAUAGGUACAUUGAUCAUGACUCGAAGAUGACCCCUAUUGAUUUUCAGGUCACUAGGUCAAAGGUCAAGGUCACGGUGACCUGAAAUAGUAAAAUGGUUUCUGGAUGAUAACUCAAGAACGCUUAUGCCUAGGAUCAUGAAACUUCAUAGGUAUAUUGAUCAUGACUCGCAGAUGACCCCUAUUGAUUAUGAGGUCACUAGUUCAAAGGUCAAGGUCACAGUGCCAAAAAACGUAUUCACACAAUGGAUGUCAAGGUCACGGUGACUCAACUUAGAAAAAUGGUUUCCGGAUGAUAACUCAAGAAUGCUUACGCCUAGGAUCAUGAAACUUCAUAGGUACAUUGAUCAUGACUCGCAGAUGAAAUAAUGAUGAAACUUGACCAGGAUGUUUGUCUGGACAAUAUCUAGGUCAAGUUUGACAUUUGGUAAAGAUUGAAUGAACCGACUCCUCUCAGGUGAGCGAACUAGGGCCAUCUUGGCCCUCAUGUUUAGCUCUACUGGCCAAAGGCCUGAAGAGCUAAUGUCAUGGCGUGGUUUACGUGCGUCUGUUAGACUUUUUCUUGUUUACGCGAUAAAGUCCACAGUCUUCAUCCGAUUCUUUUCAAACUUGUUCAGUGUCUUUAUAUUAAUGAGGAUUCGAACCCUAUUUAAAAUGGGUUACAUCAGAGUAAAAGUCCAGAAUUAUCUCCCCUUGAAUUUGAGAAAAUUGUGAAAUAAGGCUUGUUUACGCAAUAAAGUCCACGGUUUUCAUCCAGUCAUUUCCCAACUUGCACAGUGUCUUUAU
Molecule: long non-coding RNA, 2109 nt
Organism: Dreissena polymorpha
Lineage: Eukaryota; Metazoa; Mollusca; Bivalvia; Myida; Dreissenidae
Exons: 5
Source: RefSeq, a predicted model, not a curated record